UUUCACAGCCCCAGAGCAUUUUUUGUUCUGGAAUUAAGUCAAUAUAUAACAUGUACUUUGACCAUAACUUUCUCUAAGUGGCACAACUUACAAGUAGUAUGUCUGGUUUCCGGCAGAAGCAAUGUAGGUAGCUGGUCUCUGUAUGCUUUCGAGGGUUAGCUUCCAGUUUAGGACUCUAGGUUAUGGUUUAGAAUGAACGAUUUGGGGUAAUACGAUGGUAAGGAUAGGAGCUUGUUGUAUCCCUACGCGUUGCGUCUGUGUCCGCUUGGUUCCUAGCAGUUGGAUCGGAUGCUUAGGGGUCGUCAGUAGCGUAUGAUGAUGCAUUGCGUGCUGGUAAUUCUGCAUGGUGAUGCUGUUGUCAUGUGCAUGCUAGUGAAUAUUUUGCGCGAAUGAUGAUACUGCCGUUCCUUCAUUUUCAAGUACCUUGUGGUUAAGUUGGUAUGCACAUCUGCGCAUGUUUCUGUUAGGUUCGUGGCAGUGGUAAUUCCGGGUUUAGUUAUUGAAGAUUGUAUCUGUAAAUCUAGAUCUGUGUAGGUCCUAGGGGCAUCCUUUGCUAAGGAAUAUGUCGUGCUUAUAUAGUUGCAAGUUGUAUGUUUUUCUCUCCUGUGAUGCUAGUUCUUUGCUACACAUGCCCUUAUGUUUACCACCUUGUUCUGCUAAUAGGGCAGAUUUCUUUGAUGUGACAAUCUUUCUGAUACGGAAUUAUUAAGAAGGGAAAAGAAACACCACAUGCUCAUGAAUAGAUUUGUAGCUCAUUUUAAUUAUUCCAGCAGUACAAGUACAACUGUUGUUGUUGUAGCUUAACAAAUCAAUUUAAAUUUAGUACAAGUAGUAAAAAUUUAACUGUUGUUGCGCUAGCUCCAUUCUACAUGGAAAGGGAGGGAAUCGCAUCCGUAUCCGCGGGUCUGUCUCUGAUGGAGUACAAGUAGUAUAAAUUGAGUUGUGUGAAUCUGUAUCUCUAGUGUGUCUUGCCUCCGAACAGUUGAUCAUUUUUUCUUGGUGAUGAAAUCAAAUGAAAGGGAAACAAACUAUUGUUCUGCUAUGCUGUGCAAUCCAAUGACUUCUCCUUGUUUCUGUCAAAAUAUCUGUACAACUUCAAUUGAUACCAUGCACUAUCAAAAUAUAUGUACAACUUCGAUUGAUACCAUGCACUGUCAACAUGAAUUAUUCUUAUGGUUUUAUGAAGUGUAGUACACUAGAAUGCCUUGUUUGACUAUUUCAUCUCUCCUGCAGUAUUUUUUCUGUAACUGUGCUCCUUGGUUUGGUACAAUGCUUGCCGUUAGAUAGCUUUCAUUGUUGUUAUAAGCUGACCUUUUUUGGUUUUUUGUGCAGAAUCCUCAGAUGGAUCUGCAGGCUAUGUAUUGAUGUCACCGUAUUGGCCAAACACAGCCAGUUCAUGUUUAUCGAUUGGAUCUGUCAGAAUUGUAUACUCAUUUUGUUUGAAGAUAAUUGUUUGAGGAAGUUCACCCAAUAUUGUAUUGUUACUAUCUUUGCCAAUUUGAUGCUUAUCUGCAAAAAUUCAGCAUGCCAAUUACUAUAUCAUAUGCUCCAAGCUUUAUAGAUUCUGUUUUUAUUUUAUCUCAAGCAUUGUACUUCUGUAUUUGUGUCUAUGGUCAACUACUGGUUUUAAUAUGCAAACAACAACAUAGUUAGAGCUGCUAUGUUAUAAUUAAUGUCUACUUUGUUGUAAAUUCUUGCUUAUAUUGGUGUCUUUCCUUCUGUUCCAAGACUGGACAUAUUUCUGUCUGGAUUGUGCAAGUUAAUCGAACUUCUCUAAUUUGAAUAAGUUGGGAUCCCGACUUCCAUCAGUCCUUUCUUAGGUGGAUGUAUAUAGGUGCAGUAGUUUAUCAUCUAUCAACUUUAUAGGUACUAGAGUCAACAAAAAACAAAGCUCGGUUCACUUAUCUACAGAGUAAAGCUUUCAGAAAUAAGUUUGAAGUGUUGAAUCAGUACACAUCUUUUAUCUUGAAUUUUUGUAGUAUGGAAAACACAUUAGUAAAUCUGAAUAACUUUGACAUAUUUUCUCUAUUAUCUUGCACUGGAUUGGUACCUGUGAUUGCCUUGUACAAAUAUAUCAUAAUUCUGCUAACACCGAUCCUUGUGUAUGUCUAUAGCUGUUAGUUCUUUGAUCUGUCCACCGAGGAAGAGGAGGCAUCUUUGAUCUAUCCACAGCCUGGUUCCUCUUUUACACGAGCUCCACGCCUAAUAUGAAGCCAAGCAUGAAGUCGUGAAGCCUAUAUGCAAAGAGUAGCAUAUCAUGUAUUGUGAUAGUAGGUUGUAGUAGGCAUAUUUGACUUGUAGUAGUGUAAAGAUUGUAAUAGACUAAUUUAGUGUUUUUUGGACGAAUUUCAUUUGUUCUGUGAUCUGUUCAAAAUAUUGAUUUCGUA
Long non-coding RNA from Hordeum vulgare subsp. vulgare (domesticated barley), 2387 nucleotides. RefSeq lists it as uncharacterized. Lineage: Eukaryota; Viridiplantae; Streptophyta; Magnoliopsida; Poales; Poaceae. The transcript is spliced from 2 exons. The record is from RefSeq and is a predicted model, not a curated record.